Molecule: non-coding RNA, 25 nt
Filed under: Rattus norvegicus (Norway rat)
Lineage: Eukaryota; Metazoa; Chordata; Mammalia; Rodentia; Muridae
Source: RNAcentral
UUAUACAGUGAUUAGACAGCCCAGG